Molecule: ribosomal RNA, 479 nt
Filed under: uncultured bacterium
Lineage: Bacteria
Description: partial 16S ribosomal RNA
Rfam family: Bacterial small subunit ribosomal RNA
Source: RNAcentral
GAUGAACGCUAGCGGGAGGCCUAACACAUGCAAGCCGAGCGGUAUUGUUUCUUCGGCAAUGAGAGAGCGGCGUACGGGUGCGUAACACGUGUGCAACCUGCCUUUAUCUGGGGGAUAGCCUUUCGAAAGGAAGAUUAAUACUCCAUAAUAUAUUGAACGGCAUCGUUUAAUAUUGAAAGCUCCGGCGGGUAGAGAUGGGCACGCGCAAGAUUAGCUAGUUGGUGAGGUAACGGCUCACCAAGGCGAUGAUCUUUAGGGGGCCUGAGAGGGUGAUCCCCCACACUGGUACUGGGACACGGACCAGACUCCUACGGGAGGCAGCAGUGAGGAAUAUUGGUCAAUGGGUGCAAGCCUGAACCAGCCAUCCCGCGUGAAGGACGACUGCCCUAUGGGUUGUAAACUUCUUUUGUAUAGGGAUAAACCUACCCUCGUGAGGGUAGCUGAAGGUACUAUACGAAUAAGCACCGGCUAACUCCGUG